GCGAUCGUAGCUCAGUUGGUUAGAGCACUGGAUUGUGGAUCCAGAUGUCGCGGGUUCGAGCCCCGUCGAUCGCCCCA
Molecule: transfer RNA, 77 nt
Filed under: Simkania sp.
Lineage: Bacteria; Pseudomonadati; Chlamydiota; Chlamydiia; Parachlamydiales; Simkaniaceae
Also listed under: 1 other name
Description: tRNA-His
Rfam family: tRNA
About the family: Transfer RNA (tRNA) molecules are approximately 80 nucleotides in length. Their secondary structure includes four short double-helical elements and three loops (D, anti-codon, and T loops).
Source: RNAcentral